UUUUGAACAAUCGGAAACACA
This 21-nucleotide non-coding RNA is filed under the name Caenorhabditis elegans. The record is from RNAcentral. Lineage: Eukaryota; Metazoa; Nematoda; Chromadorea; Rhabditida; Rhabditidae.